CGGGAAGCUCCUCCUGCUAGGUCCUAGCGGGACCGGAUUCUUUUCUAGCCGUUGGUUCGCCCACGCCCCGCGCGGCGCAGCUGGCUCAGCCAACUGCUGUGGAGCGUGGAAACGCGAAUGUUUUAGCAAAAGUAACAGACUUCUCGUAAAUAAGUAGCCUGGGAAGGGUUUUUUUUUCAUUUUUUAAAAGAGCGCAUAUGGGUACAUUUGUCUAUUGUUCAAGACCAGUAUCCUGCUCUUUGGGAAUGUGACCAAAGCCGGGUCUUUAAUGUGUAGGAACACACAGACUGCUGCUGUGGUUUAGCACACUUUGCUCUUAGAAAGGUGCACGCCAGAGAAGUGGCUUGCAAUCUUGCUACAAAACAUCACCUGGAGAUUAGGGUUUGUCCAGCCUGUAUGUAGCCUCCUAGGGCUAAUUUCACACUCCACCCUAGAUGUGAGCUGUGUCUGUACACACUGAGUGUGGUUCAGCAAGCCUUCCUCCAAAAGCCAGCAUCUCUCGAGGUUAGAAAUCCCUGAUGAGCUUAAUCCAGAACACAGAGAGGACAUUCAGUCUUUGUAUUGAUUGCAACCAUGAUUCACUCCUGAUUCCAUGAUAAAUGAUUUCGUGGUCCACUACUGAGUCAUGGUCUCCAGUUUGGAACUCUGCCCUCCAUCCAUACCGUGGCCUCACCACUACUCCUCAUUUCAGGUAGCAGCAAAACUGUGAUAACCACACACCAGGCACCUGACAACAGCAGCCCCAGGAGAAAUCCACAGGGCAGCUUGGACUUGAGCAUGGACUUGGAUGACAUGAUCGAUAACUUCCUGGCUGCCAGCCCCCGUUUCAUCCUCAGUGGCCAGCACCAUACCCGUCCUGAGAAAAUCUACUAUAAGAAAAGAUCUCUGUGCGUAGGUAAAGCACAUGUAGUAUUAGCAAGUUUGGUACCUUUAUGGAAGAAGUGUAUUCAGUCAACAAACUCAUUCACUUAUCCAAUAAAU
Molecule: long non-coding RNA, 981 nt
Organism: Orcinus orca (killer whale)
Lineage: Eukaryota; Metazoa; Chordata; Mammalia; Artiodactyla; Delphinidae
Exons: 3
Source: RefSeq, a predicted model, not a curated record